Molecule: long non-coding RNA, 1168 nt
Organism: Astatotilapia calliptera (eastern happy)
Lineage: Eukaryota; Metazoa; Chordata; Actinopteri; Cichliformes; Cichlidae
Source: Ensembl
GAGGAAAACAGCUAUCAAAGCCAGCGUAAAGGCCCCAUUAGGCAUUUAAUAUUACUCGGGCUAAAUGAGAGGCAGCAGAAACCCUACGUGAAACCGUAAAAUCUGGCAACCCAGGCAGCUGUGGCCGGCCUCCCUGCCUGCGUUGGAUGUUAGCUGUGGUCCUUCUGACUGAACCCAAACAUCACCCCCAAAUCGGGUACGCCAGGUAGGUAAGCACCAUACCCCACUGCUGACAGUUGUAGCAUUUAAAUUUUGGGACCGGGGGCACACAGUAUUUUUUCUAUUCACGUUUCAAACACUGACUUCGCCAAACUUGCUUUGUUUUCCUGGGGCUAUUUUCUGGCGGUUAGCACUUGGCUGAUAGGUAGCUUCGAGCGUGCUGACGUCACCGGGUUGCCGUAGAGCUAGUAGCGAUGGGGACACCGUUGCCCUGGCGACAGCGCUCAUAAGUUAUCGGCGAUUGCUAGCUGCUGUAUGAACUUUAACGCUGCAGAAAAGGCUUCAGGUGAAGGCUUUACUUAAUAAAGUGAAUCAAACAAAUAUCGUGGGUUAAAUAGCUUAGGAUUUUGGACUGACUCCACCAGCCUUUUUUUUUUUUUUUUUUAAACAAGUAGCAGACAGGGGGGGUAGCUGUUACCCCGACGACAGCACACACAAGUCAUCCGUGCCAGCGAGCAUCUGUUUGAAACGCUCCGUAUACGGCUCGGAGUGCCGCUAACACGCUCCAAAACGUAGUCACAUAUGGCUUCUUCACUGGUGCCCGACUUUUCAUCGGUUAUGGUGGUUCUGGAGCGUUUAAAGGAGCUGGACGAAUACCUGAAAGAGGAGGAGGUACCGUUCGCACCUGAGGCCAGCCUCCACCUGAUGGAGAUAACGACUGCUGUCAGCGAGCUGGAGGCAGACAGGCGUGCUGCUCGUGAACACUUGGAAGUGGAAAGCAUAGAAAACAGCAAACUGAGACACCAGAUCAGCAACAUGCGUGAACGAAUGAGCAAGGAGAUCAUGGCUGAUGUAGCAGCGGCGCGAGCAUCAAAUGCCGAGGAGAUCCAGCAACUGUGCAAAGAUCUCAGUGCAGUCUCUCAGCUCCAAGAAGAAGCUACGAAAAUGCAGGAAUCCCUUCUCAGCCAAAACAAGUCCCUGUACCUGGAGCGGGAUCAGGCGAAGGCUA